Molecule: ribosomal RNA, 116 nt
Filed under: Pteropus alecto (black flying fox)
Lineage: Eukaryota; Metazoa; Chordata; Mammalia; Chiroptera; Pteropodidae
Source: RNAcentral
GUCUAUGGCCAUGCCACCCUGAACAAGCCUGAUGUCUGAUCUUGGAAGCUAAGCAGGGUUAGGCCUGGUUAGUACUUGAAUAGGAGAACACCUAGGAAGACUAGGUACUGUAGGCA